GAUGAACGCUGGCGGCGUGCCUAAUACAUGCAAGUCGAGCGAACGGACGAGAAGCUUGCUUUUCUGAUGUUAGCGGCGGACGGGUGAGUAACACGUGGAUAACCUACCUAUAAGACUGGGAUAACUUCGGGAAACCGGAGCUAAUACCGGAUAAUAUUUUGAACCGCAUGGUUCAAAAGUGAAAGACGGUCUUGCUGUCACUUAUAGAUGGAUCCGCGCUGCAUUAGCUAGUUGGUAAGGUAACGGCUUACCAAGGCAACGAUGCAUAGCCGACCUGAGAGGGUGAUCGGCCACACUGGAACUGAGACACGGUCCAGACUCCUACGGGAGGCAGCAGUAGGGAAUCUUCCGCAAUGGGCGAAAGCCUGACGGAGCAACGCCGCGUGAGUGAUGAAGGUCGUCGGAUCGUAAAACUCUGUUAUUAGGGAAGAACAUAUGUGUAAGUAACUGUGCACAUCUUGACGGUACCUAAUCAGAAAGCCACGGCUAACUACGUG
Molecule: ribosomal RNA, 497 nt
Filed under: uncultured bacterium
Lineage: Bacteria
Description: partial 16S ribosomal RNA
Rfam family: Bacterial small subunit ribosomal RNA
Source: RNAcentral